This 958-nucleotide ribosomal RNA is filed under the name Lichtheimia sp. RNAcentral describes it as "partial large subunit ribosomal RNA". It matches the Rfam family "Eukaryotic large subunit ribosomal RNA", at positions 36 to 892 of the family's 3401-position model. Lineage: Eukaryota; Fungi; Mucoromycota; Mucoromycetes; Mucorales; Lichtheimiaceae. The record is from RNAcentral.
UAGCAUAUCNAUNAGCGGAGGAAAAGNAAAUAACCAUGAAUUCCCCUAGUAACGGCGAGUGAAAGAGGGAAAAGCUCAAAGUUGGAACCUGGCUGACUUAGUUGGUCCGGAUUGUAAACUAAAGAGUAAGACUCCAGGCAAGCCGGUUUACCAAGUUCCUUGGAAUAGGACGCCACUGAGGGUGAGAGCCCCGUAAGUAAACUGAGCAUCUGUCUUUUGUGUGUCUUGCUUAAAGAGUCAGGUUGUUUGGGAAUGCAGCCUAAAGUGGGUGGUAAAUCCCACCUAAAGCUAAAUACUGGCGAGAGACCGAUAGCGAACAAGUACCGUGAGGGAAAGAUGAAAAGAACUUUGAAAAGAGAGUUAAACAGUAUGUGAAAUUGCCAAGAGGGAAGCGUUUGGAGUUAGACUGACUGGAGGUCAAUCAACUUGGUUUUCGAACUGGGUGUACUUGGCNUUUAUGUCGGCCAGCAGCAGUUUGCUUUGAUGGAAAAUACUUGGGGAAAGGUAGUCCUUCGGGAUGUUUAUAGACCCUUGGAAGAUACAUUGGAGUAGACUGAGGAACGCAGUAGAUGCUUUCAGGCUUCGUCUUGUGGCUCUUGUGUGAGGUGGACUGGUGUUUUUCAGCCUAGCUGAUGCUCUGGUGCUCCAAGUUCAAGUAGUUAUUCGAACUGUAAUCUACUAUGGUUGCUGGCUUAAUGACUCUAAACGGCCCGUCUUGAAACACGGACCAAGGAGUCCACCACAAGUGCGAGUAUUUGGGUGGCAAACCCAGAAUGCGCAAUGAAAGUGACUUGAGUUACCAAGUCUUUUACAGACUGCAGUAACCUCCGGCAUCGACGUUUUAUACUAAAGUGACCGAGAGAAAGCACUUGUGAUGGGACCCGAAAGAUGGUGAACUAUGCUUGAGUAGGGNGAAGCCAGAGGAAACUCUGGUGGAGGCCNGAAGCGGUUCUGACGU